GUGAGCCUUGCCUGAAUUCAUAGGGCAAGGCGGCAAACCCGGGGAAGUGAAACAUCUCAGUACCCGGAGGAAAAGAAAUCAAACGAGAUUCCCCAAGUAGUGGCGAGCGAAAAGGGAAGAGCCCAAACCACCGGUAUGCAAGGUCAAAGCCGUUGUACCGGCGGGGUUGUUGGAGAUAAGGCGGCGUAACUUUGAGUGCGCCCGGUACGAGCACCCGUUAGGCGAGUGGCCUGGAAAGGCCAACCAGAGAGGGUGACAGUCCCGUAGACGAAAACGGGGUGCAAGACCGACUUAUGAUCCAGAGUACCACCGGGCCCGAGAAACCCGGUGGGUAAGCAGGGAAGACCACUUUCCAAGG
Molecule: ribosomal RNA, 358 nt
Filed under: uncultured bacterium
Lineage: Bacteria
Description: partial 16S ribosomal RNA
Rfam family: Bacterial large subunit ribosomal RNA
Source: RNAcentral